GGCGCGACGGGCGGGGUCUAGAGGCGCUCCGCGCCUGCGCAAAGGGCGCGACGGCGUCCUGCGUCGUUCCUUUUUAAACUAGUGGCGGGGAACUGCUCCGGAAGCCCCUGGCGCCGCUGUCUGCUGGGUGGAAUCGCGUACCGUCAUCCGUGGGCCUGGCAAUGGCGCUGCAACUCUCCCGGGAGCAAGGCAUCACCUUGCGCGGGAGCGCCGAGAUCGUGGCCGAGUUCUUCUCGUUUGGCAUCAACAGUAUUUUAUAUCAGCGUGGCAUAUAUCCAUCGGAAACCUUUACUCGGGUGCAGAAACACGGUCUCAACCUUGCUUGUAACUACUGAUCCUGAGCUCAUAAAAUACUUAAAUAAUGUGGUGGAUCAACUAAAAGAAUGGUUAUACAAGUGUUCAGUUCAGAAACUGGUGGUAGUCAUCUCAAAUAUUGAAAGUGGAGAGGUCCUUGAAAGAUGGCAGUUUGAUAUUGAGUGUGACAAGACUGCAAAAGAUGACAGUGCACCCAGAGAAAAGUCUCAGAAAGCCAUCCAAGAUGAAAUCCGUUCAGUGAUCAGACAGAUCACAGCUACAGUGACAUUUCUGCCACUGUUGGAAGUUUCUUGUUCAUUUGAUCUCCUCAUUUAUACAGACAAAGAUCUGGUUGUACCUGAAAAAUGGGAAGAGUCAGGACCACAGUUCAUUACCAAUUCUGAGGAAGUUCGUCUUCGUUCAUUUACUGCUACAAUUCACAAAGUAAAUAGCAUGGUAGCCUACAAAAUUCCUGUCAAUGACUGAGGAUGAGAUAUGGACAAUAAUGUACUUGUAACUCUCAAAUGUGGUUUUCCUUCCAGAUCACCUAUAGUUGGUAUGUUUUAUUUCAUUGGUUAGUUUUUAGAUGAGGAAAACUUAACAUGAUGCUUUACUGAAUCUGUGCAAAAUUGUUCCAGUUUUGGUACCUAUCUGACUUUCCAUAGGGUUGACGUAAGUUACUGCACAGAUUACAUCAGUACUGCCGUGUUACUUUCUUUCAAGGUAGUAACCGUAGGUGGAAAAACUUUUGCUAAAUGCCUCUCUAAGUCAGGCUUUUGGUCAAGUAGCUUGACUCAGAAUGUAGAGAAAUAGUUAAAUAUAAAAUAGAACAAAAGAAAUACGAAUAUUCAGAAUCUUCAUUUAGAUCCUGAAAGUAACUAAUGAUAAUCCAUAAGUAGUGAAAUAUUGCUCUUUAUUGGGUCCUAUUGCCAUUCAUUUCAUUUGUAUAGUUUCCAUAUUGAAAAAAUGUCCAAUUAUUUGAGUUUAAUUUAUGUAACUUGAAUCUAUAAAGCUGUGGGUAUUCCCACUCUUCAAAUUGUUGUGAUACAGAACUCUUAAGAAUGUCUUUUCAUGUUUUAUAAAAUCAAGCUUUAAAUGACAAUGAUGAAAUAAAGUUAAAUGUGUAUGCUUUUAAUUUGUAUUAAAUUUUUUAUAUUGGUGUGUUGAUACAGUUAAGUAGUUACGGAUUCAGUACGGCAUAUUAUUUCUUGUGCCUACUAUGUUGUAGGGAGGGCCUAAGGAUACAAAGUUGAGUAAGUCUUGAGGUACUUUCAAUUUAUUGGACAAGCUUUAAUUAAACCUCCUUCACCCUAUAACAGUAGAUUUAAAAUAAACAUUGUUCUUUAUGUAAAAUGA
This is an RNA transcript of Cervus elaphus (red deer), 1650 nucleotides long. It is a transcript of the gene named mitotic spindle assembly checkpoint protein MAD2A-like, with no coding region annotated. Lineage: Eukaryota; Metazoa; Chordata; Mammalia; Artiodactyla; Cervidae. The record is from RefSeq and is a predicted model, not a curated record. The transcript has 5 exons.